AAAAAUCAAGCAGAAUGCAAAGAGAAACAGUCUGAAGGUAAAAUGACUGUGGAAAAUACAUAUAAGGGGCAGAAAAAGAGAGGUCCUUGGAACUCGAGGGAGCUGUGCUCAUAUUCAGGGGAUCCGUCUCAUUCCGAGAGUUAUUGCACUCCAAGCAAAUGGAGUCCCACAAGACUUCACAAGGAAAGUCCCCAGCCAGGGAGGGAUCUGAGAUGGAGCUGAG
This is a long non-coding RNA of Ficedula albicollis (Collared flycatcher), 223 nucleotides long. RefSeq lists it as uncharacterized. The record is from RefSeq and is a predicted model, not a curated record. NCBI's taxonomy places the organism in Eukaryota, Metazoa, Chordata, Aves, Passeriformes, Muscicapidae. The transcript has 3 exons.